CCUACGGGAGGCAGCAGUGGGGAAUCUUGCACAAUGGGCGAAAGCCUGAUGCAGCGACGCCGCGUGAGUGAAGAAGGAUUUCGGUGUGUAAAGCUCUAUCAGCAGAGAAGAAAAUGCCGGUACGUGACUAUGAAGCCCCGGCUAACUACGUGCCAGCAGCCGCGGUAAUACGUAGGGGGCAAGCGUUAUCCGGAUUUACUGGGGGUAAAGGGAGCGUAGACGGCCAGACAAGUCAGAAGUGAAAGCCCAGGGCUUAACCCUGGGACUGCAUUUGAAACUGCCGGGCUGGAGUGCAGGAGAGGUAAGCGGAAUUCCUAGUGUAGCGGUGAAAUGCGUAGAUAUUAGGAGGAACACCAGUGGCGAAGGCGGCUUACUGGACUGUAACUGACGUUGAGGCUCGAAAGCGUGGGGAGCAAACAGGAUUAGAUACCCUUGUAGUC
RNAcentral lists this ribosomal RNA (440 nucleotides) under uncultured bacterium. RNAcentral describes it as "partial 16S ribosomal RNA". It matches the Rfam family "Bacterial small subunit ribosomal RNA", at positions 338 to 795 of the family's 1533-position model. The record is from RNAcentral.